AAAAGUGAAAGACGGUCUUGCUGUCACUUAUAGAUGGAUCCGCGCUGCAUUAGCUAGUUGGUAAGGUAACGGCUUACCAAGGCAACGAUGCAUAGCCGACCUGAGAGGGUGAUCGGCCACACUGGAACUGAGACACGGUCCAGACUCCUACGGGAGGCAGCAGUAGGGAAUCUUCCGCAAUGGGCGAAAGCCUGACGGAGCAACGCCGCGUGAGUGAUGAAGGUCUUCGGAUCGUAAAACUCUGUUAUUAGGGAAGAACAUAUGUGUAAGUAACUGUGCACAUCUUGACGGUACCUAAUCAGAAAGCCACGGCUAACUACGUGCCAGCAGCCGCGGUAAUACGUAGGUGGCAAGCGUUAUCCGGAAUUAUUGGGCGUAAAGCGCGCGUAGGCGGUUUUUUAAGUCUGAUGUGAAAGCCCACGGCUCAACCGUGGAGGGUCAUUGGAAACUGGAAAACUUGAGUGCAGAAGAGGAAAGUGGAAUUCCAUGUGUAGCGGUGAAAUGCGCAGAGAUAUGGAGGAACACCAGUGGCGAAGGCGACUUUCUGGUCUGUAACUGACGCUGAUGUGCGAAAGCGUGGGGAUCAAACAGGAUUAGAUACCCUGGUAGUCCACGCCGUAAACGAUGAGUGCUAAGUGUUAGGGGGUUUCCGCCCCUUAGUGCUGCAGCUAACGCAUUAAGCACUCCGCCUGGGGAGUACGACCGCAAGGUUGAAACUCAAAGGAAUUGACGGGGACCCGCACAAGCGGUGGAGCAUGUGGUUUAAUUCGAAGCAACGCGAAGAACCUUACCAAAUCUUGACAUCCUUUGACAACUCUAGAGAUAGAGCCUUCCCCUUCGGGGGACAAAGUGACAGGUGGUGCAUGGUUGUCGUCAGCUCGUGUCGUGAGAUGUUGGGUUAAGUCCCGCAACGAGCGCAACCCUUAAGCUUAGUUGCCAUCAUUAAGUUGGGCACUCUAAGUUGACUGCCGGUGACAAACCGGAGGAAGGUGGGGAUGACGUCAAAUCAUCAUGCCCCUUAUGAUUUGGGCUACACACGUGCUACAAUGGACAAUACAAAGGGCAGCGAAACCGCGAGGUCAAGCAAAUCCCAUAAAGUUGUUCUCAGUUCGGAUUGUAGUCUGCAACUCGACUACAUGAAGCUGGAAUCGCUAGUAAUCGUAGAUCAGCAUGCUACGGUGAAUACGUUCCCGGGUCUUGUACACACCGCCCGUCACACCACGAGAGUUUGUAACACCCGAAGCCGGUGGAGUAACCUUUUAGGAGCUAGCCGUCG
RNAcentral lists this ribosomal RNA (1276 nucleotides) under Staphylococcus aureus. Its description in RNAcentral is "bacterial SSU rRNA". It matches the Rfam family "Bacterial small subunit ribosomal RNA", at positions 196 to 1458 of the family's 1533-position model. The record is from RNAcentral. Lineage: Bacteria; Bacillati; Bacillota; Bacilli; Caryophanales; Staphylococcaceae.